UUUAUUUUGAAGGUAUUUUAUGCAGUUUCCUCUUCCUUCUUCACGUUCUAGACCCGAUUUGCAUAAUGGCGGAGAAGCAGUCACUGACGAUAAACUGCUCUGUUCUGUAACAGAAUGCAUGGGUGUAACCCCAGUUCUUCAAAAAACCUUCAUAAAUCGACUGAUGACAACAAUGAAAGAAAAAGGAUUUUGAGAUAUUCAGCAACUUCCUGGACUCCUCAAGAAGCUGUCAGCAGAGUGUUCCAGCCGGGUCAUUAUUUGCUUUGGGCAGCGCUCUCACUUCCUCCGAUGAGUUGCUGGCAUCCUUAAAACGACUGGCGCGAUACCUGGUGUACGGCAGCUUUUCUCCUCACGGAGCUGCUGCGUGGUGGCCGGUUCAGAGCAAACGGCAUGGAGGAGUCCUGCAGGUGUAUUUAUACAGGUGAGUUGAUAGAUUGAACACUGAGGUCGGCUGCACUGUAGUUGAUGCUUAACGUAAGUGUAGCUUUAUGGACAAACUGGAAAAUAAGUUUCAUAUUAUCCUGGUCUCAGCCAAUGAGUGGCAGAGUGCAUCGUGGUUCAUAGCUGGUAGAUGUGUUUCUGUGUGGCGAAUUAAGGCGUCGAAUCCGCUCGUUUACAUGGACAUAAAAGCUAUAAAUUGCUGGGCGAAGUGAGAGUUCAUCUAUUAUAUUGACUGAAGAUGAAUAUGUGA
Poecilia latipinna (sailfin molly) is the source of this 691-nucleotide long non-coding RNA. RefSeq lists it as uncharacterized. Lineage: Eukaryota; Metazoa; Chordata; Actinopteri; Cyprinodontiformes; Poeciliidae. The transcript is spliced from 5 exons. The record is from RefSeq and is a predicted model, not a curated record.